GGUUGAUCCUGCCAGUAGUCAUAUGCUUGUCUCAAAGAUUAAGCCAUGCAUGUCCAAGUAUAAGCAUUUAUACAGCGAAACUGCGAAAGGCUCAUUAUAUCAGUUACAACUUACAUGAUAGUGACUUGCUAUAUGGAUAACCGUGGUAAUUCUAGAGCUAAUACAUGCGCAAAGGUUCCUUCGGGGACGGUAUUUAUUAGAUUUAAGCCAGCCCGGGCGACCGGUUUGUGGUGAUUCAUGGUAACUGUGCGAAUCGCUUCGGCGAUGGAUCAUUCAGAUUUCUGCCCUAUCAA
This 293-nucleotide ribosomal RNA is filed under the name uncultured eukaryote. Its description in RNAcentral is "partial 18S ribosomal RNA". It matches the Rfam family "Eukaryotic small subunit ribosomal RNA", at positions 6 to 318 of the family's 1831-position model. The record is from RNAcentral.